RNAcentral lists this ribosomal RNA (858 nucleotides) under Bacillus velezensis. RNAcentral's name for it is "bacterial SSU rRNA". It matches the Rfam family "Bacterial small subunit ribosomal RNA", at positions 81 to 923 of the family's 1533-position model. The record is from RNAcentral. Lineage: Bacteria; Bacillati; Bacillota; Bacilli; Caryophanales; Bacillaceae.
GCUCCCUGAUGUUAGCGGCGGACGGGUGAGUAACACGUGGGUAACCUGCCUGUAAGACUGGGAUAACUCCGGGAAACCGGGGCUAAUACCGGAUGGUUGUUUGAACCGCAUGGUUCAGACAUAAAAGGUGGCUUCGGCUACCACUUACAGAUGGACCCGCGGCGCAUUAGCUAGUUGGUGAGGUAACGGCUCACCAAGGCAACGAUGCGUAGCCGACCUGAGAGGGUGAUCGGCCACACUGGGACUGAGACACGGCCCAGACUCCUACGGGAGGCAGCAGUAGGGAAUCUUCCGCAAUGGACGAAAGUCUGACGGAGCAACGCCGCGUGAGUGAUGAAGGUUUUCGGAUCGUAAAGCUCUGUUGUUAGGGAAGAACAAGUGCCGUUCAAAUAGGGCGGCACCUUGACGGUACCUAACCAGAAAGCCACGGCUAACUACGUGCCAGCAGCCGCGGUAAUACGUAGGUGGCAAGCGUUGUCCGGAAUUAUUGGGCGUAAAGGGCUCGCAGGCGGUUUCUUAAGUCUGAUGUGAAAGCCCCCGGCUCAACCGGGGAGGGUCAUUGGAAACUGGGGAACUUGAGUGCAGAAGAGGAGAGUGGAAUUCCACGUGUAGCGGUGAAAUGCGUAGAGAUGUGGAGGAACACCAGUGGCGAAGGCGACUCUCUGGUCUGUAACUGACGCUGAGGAGCGAAAGCGUGGGGAGCGAACAGGAUUAGAUACCCUGGUAGUCCACGCCGUAAACGAUGAGUGCUAAGUGGUUAGGGGGUUUCCGCCCCUUAGUGCUGCAGCUAACGCAUAAGCACUCCGCCUGGGGGAGUACGGUCGCAAGACUGAACUCAAGGAAAUUGACGGGGGCCGC